GCCUUCGUAGUGUAAUAGUCAGCCCACUCAGCACGCAUUUGAGAGGUCCGUGGUUCGAGUCCCGGCAAGGGCA
This 73-nucleotide transfer RNA is filed under the name Stegodyphus mimosarum. It matches the Rfam family "tRNA". From Rfam's summary of the family: Transfer RNA (tRNA) molecules are approximately 80 nucleotides in length. Their secondary structure includes four short double-helical elements and three loops (D, anti-codon, and T loops). Further hydrogen bonds mediate the characteristic L-shaped molecular structure. tRNAs have two regions of fundamental functional importance: the anti-codon, which is responsible for specific mRNA codon recognition, and the 3' end, to which the tRNAs corresponding amino acid is attached (by aminoacyl-tRNA synthetases). tRNAs cope with the degeneracy of the genetic code in two manners: having more than one tRNA (with a specific anti-codon) for a particular amino acid; and 'wobble' base-pairing, i.e. permitting non-standard base-pairing at the 3rd anti-codon position. The record is from Rfam by way of RNAcentral. Lineage: Eukaryota; Metazoa; Arthropoda; Arachnida; Araneae; Eresidae.